RNAcentral lists this ribosomal RNA (161 nucleotides) under Clostridium botulinum C/D str. DC5. RNAcentral's name for it is "partial 23S ribosomal RNA". It matches the Rfam family "Bacterial large subunit ribosomal RNA", at positions 1 to 163 of the family's 2925-position model. The record is from RNAcentral. Lineage: Bacteria; Bacillati; Bacillota; Clostridia; Eubacteriales; Clostridiaceae.
AGAUCAAGCUACAAAGGGCGCACGGUGAAUGCCCUGGCACUAGGAGCCGAUGAAGGACGUGAUAAGCUGCGAUAAGCUACAUGUAGGCGCACACAGCCUGUGAUAUGUAGAUUUCCGAAUGGGGAAACCCAUCUAGUUAUGCUAGAUACUGUAUACCGAAU